RNAcentral lists this ribosomal RNA (387 nucleotides) under uncultured bacterium. Its description in RNAcentral is "bacterial SSU rRNA". It matches the Rfam family "Bacterial small subunit ribosomal RNA", at positions 30 to 419 of the family's 1533-position model. The record is from RNAcentral.
AUUGAACGCUGGCGGCAUGCCUUACACAUGCAAGUCGAACGGCAGCGGACCUUCGGGUGCCGGCGAGUGGCGAACGGGUGAGUAAUAUAUCGGAACGUACCUUUCAGUGGGGGAUAACGUAGCGAAAGUUACGCUAAUACCGCAUAUUCUGUGAGCAGGAAAGCAGGGGAUCGCAAGACCUUGCGCUGAUUGAGCGGCCGAUAUCAGAUUAGCUAGUUGGUGAGGUAAAGGCUCACCAAGGCGACGAUCUGUAGCGGGUCUGAGAGGAUGAUCCGCCACACUGGAACUGAGACACGGUCCAGACUCCUACGGGAGGCAGCAGUGGGGAAUUUUGGACAAUGGGCGCAAGCCUGAUCCAGCCAUGCCGCGUGAGUGAUGAAGGCCUUC